RNAcentral lists this small RNA (81 nucleotides) under Flavobacterium xanthum. RNAcentral describes it as "Flavo-1 RNA". It matches the Rfam family "Flavo-1 RNA". Lineage: Bacteria; Pseudomonadati; Bacteroidota; Flavobacteriia; Flavobacteriales; Flavobacteriaceae. The record is from RNAcentral.
GCUUAGCCCCGAUUGUAGUGGAAAUCCUUUUUAUUUUUUUCUUAAAAAACAAAAAGAUUGUAACGGAAAGCGGGAAAUAGC